CUCUAAGCAGGAUGAAGUAGUGCAGAAUCUGUGGGUGAAGGGGAUGUUAGGCUGAUGCGAGUGUUGUUAGUCUCCAGUGAUUAUUUCCACUCUAGAAAAAGGAUGGCUAAAGAUUUCCACACGUGCAUAAGAUGUCAUAUCUUGUGAUCCAUCUCUUCUCUCUUCAUUUUCCUCCUUUGUAACUACAAGCCUUUCCUGGAGCUGAUAGCUCUAUCCAGAAUGACUCAUAGAGAUGUCUGAGAUAUGUCUGAGAAUCCUUUUAUUCUGGAUGAUGGUAAUGGCAAGAUUCCCACUGAUGUGAGUGAACUUCUACAGACCACCGUAGAUUUAUUGUACAUUCUUAAUUUCAACUGCCCUGAGGUGAAACGGAGACAUGCCUAAACUUAUCCCUGGCUACACAUACUCUGUGGAUUGGUUUUUUAUCAUCUAGAUCUGAGUCUGGAUGGAGUGUUCUAUAACCCAUCGCAGCUUGUAUGACUGAGUUCCCCUGGGCAUUUGUGGAAAAUAGUGAAUGUGCAAGCAUGGAGCCUGGGUGGGGCUGGGCAUCCCCUUAGAGCCUUGUAGGAGCUUAAGGCAGACAGUUGCUGAAGAGUCAUAUGGCAGGAGGAGCAUCCUGGAGCUCUACAGAGUGGUGCAAGAGAGAGUUAUGGUUCUGAAGGUUUUUCAUAAAAUCAUAGAAUCCUGAGAGUUUCUACAGAAAAGCUUACAGUUUCAUUCUGAAGGAACCUUGCAGUACUCUGUCAAAAAUUUAGGCUGUCACUGUAUCUGCUGGGUGAAGAAGUUGUAAAAGACAAAUUACCUUGGAAAUAACACACUAAAGAUGUGCAAAGAGGUCUCUUCAUCUAGCUUAUCUCUUAAGGUGCUGAUAAGAAAUUCCUUCCUCCCCACUCCCAUCCCAAACCUCAUCAUGAAUCCUCACUGAAAACAACUCUCCCAGUCUCCUGAGAGGUGAGGCAACUCCCUGCACUCCACCCUCCUUUCUGCUCCAGCACAGACUGAAAGCUGAAGGACUGAAAUACCAUAGAAGAAG
This is a long non-coding RNA of Gallus gallus (chicken), 1030 nucleotides long. Lineage: Eukaryota; Metazoa; Chordata; Aves; Galliformes; Phasianidae. The record is from Ensembl.